This 253-nucleotide ribosomal RNA is filed under the name uncultured bacterium. RNAcentral's name for it is "partial 16S ribosomal RNA". It matches the Rfam family "Bacterial small subunit ribosomal RNA", at positions 524 to 776 of the family's 1533-position model. The record is from RNAcentral.
UACGGAGGGGGCUAGCGUUGUUCGGAAUUACUGGGCGUAAAGCGCACGUAGGCGGCUUUCUAAGUCGGGGGUGAAAUCCUGGAGCUCAACUCCAGAACUGCCUUAGAUACUGGAGAGCUUGAGUCCGGGAGAGGUGAGUGGAACUGCGAGUGUAGAGGUGAAAUUCGUAGAUAUUCGCAAGAACACCAGUGGCGAAGGCGGCUCACUGGCCCGGUACUGACGCUGAGGUGCGAAAGCGUGGGGAGCAAACAGG